RNAcentral lists this ribosomal RNA (1013 nucleotides) under Rasamsonia composticola. RNAcentral's name for it is "SSU rRNA". It matches the Rfam family "Eukaryotic small subunit ribosomal RNA", at positions 85 to 1106 of the family's 1831-position model. The record is from RNAcentral. Lineage: Eukaryota; Fungi; Ascomycota; Eurotiomycetes; Eurotiales; Trichocomaceae.
AACUGCGAAUGGCUCAUUAAAUCAGUUAUCGUUUAUUUGAUAGUACCUUACUACAUGGAUACCUGUGGUAAUUCUAGAGCUAAUACAUGCUGAAAACCCCGACUUCGGAAGGGGUGUAUUUAUUAGAUAAAAAACCAACGCCCUUCGGGGCUCCUUGGUGAAUCAUAAUAACUUAACGAAUCGCAUGGCCUUGCGCCGGCGAUGGUUCAUUCAAAUUUCUGCCCUAUCAACUUUCGAUGGUAGGAUAGUGGCCUACCAUGGUGGCAACGGGUAACGGGGAAUUAGGGUUCGAUUCCGGAGAGGGAGCCUGAGAAACGGCUACCACAUCCAAGGAAGGCAGCAGGCGCGCAAAUUACCCAAUCCCGAUACGGGGAGGUAGUGACAAUAAAUACUGAUACAGGGCUCUUUUGGGUCUUGUAAUUGGAAUGAGUACAAUCUAAAUCCCUUAACGAGGAACAAUUGGAGGGCAAGUCUGGUGCCAGCAGCCGCGGUAAUUCCAGCUCCAAUAGCGUAUAUUAAAGUUGUUGCAGUUAAAAAGCUCGUAGUUGAACCUUGGGCCUGGCUGGCCGGUCCGCCUCACCGCGAGUACUGGUCCGGCUGGGCCUUUCCUUCUGGGGAACCCCAUGGCCUUCACUGGCCGUGGCGGGGAACCAGGACUUUUACUGUGAAAAAAUUAGAGUGUUCAAAGCAGGCCUUUGCUCGAAUACAUUAGCAUGGAAUAAUAGAAUAGGACGUGCGGUUCUAUUUUGUUGGUUUCUAGGACCGCCGUAAUGAUUAAUAGGGAUAGUCGGGGGCGUCAGUAUUCAGCUGUCAGAGGUGAAAUUCUUGGAUUUGCUGAAGACUAACUACUGCGAAAGCAUUCGCCAAGGAUGUUUUCAUUAAUCAGGGAACGAAAGUUAGGGGAUCGAAGACGAUCAGAUACCGUCGUAGUCUUAACCAUAAACUAUGCCGACUAGGGAUCGGACGGUGUUUCUAUGAUGACCCGUUCGGCACCUUACGAGAAAUCAAAGUUU